Molecule: ribosomal RNA, 253 nt
Filed under: uncultured bacterium
Lineage: Bacteria
Description: partial 16S ribosomal RNA
Rfam family: Bacterial small subunit ribosomal RNA
Source: RNAcentral
GACAGAGGUCCCGAGCGUUAGGCGGAAUCACUGGGCUUAAAGCGUGUGUAGGUGGAUGCCUAAGUACCUUGUGAAAUCCCACAGCUUAACUGUGGAAUUGCUUGGUAUACUGGGUGUCUUGAGCCACUCAGGGGCUACCGGAACAAACGGUGGAGCGGUGAAAUGCGUAGAUAUCGUUUGGAACGCCAAUGGUGAAAACAGGUAGCUGGGGGUGUGCUGACACUGAGACACGAAAGCCAGGGGAGCAAACGGG